This 61-nucleotide transfer RNA is filed under the name Ictidomys tridecemlineatus (thirteen-lined ground squirrel). RNAcentral's name for it is "Spermophilus tridecemlineatus (thirteen-lined ground squirrel) tRNA". It matches the Rfam family "tRNA", at positions 6 to 65 of the family's 71-position model. Rfam says of the family: Transfer RNA (tRNA) molecules are approximately 80 nucleotides in length. Their secondary structure includes four short double-helical elements and three loops (D, anti-codon, and T loops). Further hydrogen bonds mediate the characteristic L-shaped molecular structure. tRNAs have two regions of fundamental functional importance: the anti-codon, which is responsible for specific mRNA codon recognition, and the 3' end, to which the tRNAs corresponding amino acid is attached (by aminoacyl-tRNA synthetases). tRNAs cope with the degeneracy of the genetic code in two manners: having more than one tRNA (with a specific anti-codon) for a particular amino acid; and 'wobble' base-pairing, i.e. permitting non-standard base-pairing at the 3rd anti-codon position. Lineage: Eukaryota; Metazoa; Chordata; Mammalia; Rodentia; Sciuridae. The record is from Rfam by way of RNAcentral.
UGUGGCUCAAUGGUAGAGCACUUGCCCCAGAUGUAUGAGGCCCUGGGUUCGAGCCUCAGCA